CAGCCUUUGGGUUGUAAAGCUCUUUUGUAGGGGAAGAUAAUGACUGUACCCUAAGAAUAAGGUCCGGCUAACUUCGUGCCAGCAGCCGCGGUAAUACGAAUGGACCUAGCGUAGUUCGGAAUUACUGAGGCGUAAAGCGCGCGUAGGCCGUUGAGUUAGUUAAUUGUGAAAUCCCAAAGCUUAACUUUGGAACUGCAAUUAAAACUGCUCGACUAGAGUUUGAUAGAGGAAAGCGGAAUACAUAGUGUAGAGGUGAAAUUCGUAGAUAUUAUGUAGAACACCAAGUUGCCGAAAGCGGAUUUCUGGGUCAACACUGACGCUGAGGCGCGAAAGUAU
RNAcentral lists this ribosomal RNA (336 nucleotides) under uncultured archaeon. RNAcentral's name for it is "bacterial SSU rRNA". It matches the Rfam family "Bacterial small subunit ribosomal RNA", at positions 412 to 762 of the family's 1533-position model. The record is from RNAcentral.